AAGUCGUAACAAGGUUUCCGUAGGUGAACCUGCGGAAGGAUCAUUAACGAACAAGAGAUUCAAAUGAAAUUUUUGAAUCUUUUGAGAUCAACCAAAACCUGUGUAAUGUAAUAAAAUGUAUAUUUUAAUUAAUAUACUAUCAAUAAUUUUAAUAAUACAAAACUUUCAACAACGGAUCUCUUGGCUCUU
The sequence is an unclassified non-coding RNA, 189 nucleotides long. The stretch from base 1 to 46 matches the Rfam family "Eukaryotic small subunit ribosomal RNA", at positions 1786 to 1831 of the family's 1831-position model.